GACGAACGCUGGCGGCGUGCCUAACACAUGCAAGUCGAACGAAGCAUAGCAAUAUGCUUAGUGGCGGACGGGUGAGUAACGCGUGAACAAUCUGCCCUGUACAAAGGAAUAGCCUCGGGAAACCGGGAUUAAAACCGUAUGACACUUUAGUAUCGCAUGAUAAGAAAGUCAAAUCGAUUAGAGGUAUGGGAUGAGUUCGCGUCUGAUUAGCUGGUUGGCGGGGUAACGGCCCACCAAGGCGACGAUCAGUAGCCGGCCUGAGAGGGUGAACGGCCACACUGGAACUGAGACACGGUCCAGACUCCUACGGGAGGCAGCAGUGGGGAAUAUUGCACAAUGGAGGGAACUCUGAUGCAGCGACGCCGCGUGAGUGAAGAAGGUCUUCGGGAUCGUAAAACUCUGUCCUUGGUGAAGAAAAGGACGGUAGCCAAGGAGGAAGCCCCGGCUAACUACGUG
Molecule: ribosomal RNA, 456 nt
Filed under: uncultured bacterium
Lineage: Bacteria
Description: bacterial SSU rRNA
Rfam family: Bacterial small subunit ribosomal RNA
Source: RNAcentral